Molecule: ribosomal RNA, 253 nt
Filed under: uncultured bacterium
Lineage: Bacteria
Description: partial 16S ribosomal RNA
Rfam family: Bacterial small subunit ribosomal RNA
Source: RNAcentral
UACGUAGGGGGCAAGCGUUGUCCGGAAUCAUUGGGCGUAAAGAGCGUGUAGGCGGCCUGAUAAGUCCGCUGUGAAAUCUCGAGGCUCAACUUCGAGCUGUCGGUGGAAACUGUCUGGCUAGAGUCCGGAAGAGGAGAAUGGAAUUCCUGGUGUAGCGGUGAAAUGCGCAGAUAUCAGGAAGAACACCCGUGGCGAAGGCGGUUCUCUGGGACGGUACUGACGCUGAGACGCGAAAGCGUGGGGAGCGAACAGG